This is a long non-coding RNA of Bos indicus x Bos taurus (hybrid cattle), 1561 nucleotides long. The record is from Ensembl. NCBI's taxonomy places the organism in Eukaryota, Metazoa, Chordata, Mammalia, Artiodactyla, Bovidae.
AUUUUCAGAAAAUUAGAGGUGGUUGUCAAGAAACCCUCUGUCGUUCAAAGGCAAGCUGGUGAGCCUUUGGGAUGAGUGCCCGUUUGAGGGGCCACCUUGAUUCUUGUUUUUGCAGAGGUCAGAUUAGAUUGCUUCACAACUGGCUCAUCCACCUCCUCCCAUCAGCUGGGUGGGAGAGAGGCUGAGUCUGUGCAGCUCUGGGGUGUGCACAGCUAAAGUGCAGAAGAGAAGCAAGUGUUAAAUGAGUCAGCCAUUCACUGAGCAAACAUCAUUUCAUUUAAAUUACACUGUGCUAUUUUAUCUUGACCCGCAACCCAAUGCAACUCAUUGUAAUACAUUAUCACAUACAAGAUAGUUGGCUCAUUAAUAAUACCCCAGGAAGGAGACAGGGGUAAACAAUGAAAACUCCCACACAUUAGCACCAUAAUGUACUACAGUAUUUUUCUUUCCUUUCAUCAGAAUCCUCCAUGUAAUUAAAUCCCAAGUAAGUCAGCAAACAAAUCCCUCAGCUUCUUUUAUUGUACUUUUUUUUUCUGAAGUGAAUUAGUUAUUUUUCAUACUAAGUAGCAACUAAGCACAAGUCCUAGAUGGAGAUGAACAUUUUCCUACAGACAAUAAAUAUUCAUUGAGUGCUUGUGAUAAGCAAGGCAUCAGCACUCUGGAGUUGCAGCAGUAAAGACACAUUGCUGAUAAAUGCUGCGAUGAAUGCCAACCUGGAUGAAGGAAUAGAGAGCAUUUGGGUGGAAAGUGAAAGCCUCAUUAAGGAACAUACAGCCAGGGUUAAAAGAAGACUUACUCCAUCCAAGGAAUCUUUUAUAGAUGAGCAGAGGAUUUGGCGUUAUAGGUGGAUUCUUUACUGCUGAGCCACCGGGGAAGAUCCCAGACAGAGAUGCAGCCUUCCUCAAAAGUAUCCUCAGGUUUUCAUUGGUUCAACAUAAGUGGCUGCUCCAGACUUUGAACAUCUUCAGUGAAACCUUGUGAGAAGGUUUAACCUUUCUCUGGUCACGUAUCAAAACUCCAAGUGAAUUGGAACACUUAGAACAUAACUAUUCUGACAGGAGGCACUAUUUCAAGGUAUGAAAAUGAGUUUUGCAUGUAGUUUUGCAUUAUUGUUCCAGGACAUAUUAGAUUCAUAACACUGGACUUAAAGAAAAAAUCUAUAACUCUCAAACUUCUUCAUAGAAUGAGAAGUACAAAUGGUCUCUUCAAGGCUGUUGUGUUGUUUAAUCAGAUAGCAUCUGAGAUUCCUUGUUGUUUUGUUCUUAACAUGUUAAAAUGGUAUUUAACUAGUUUUGGCUAAUCUAUGACUAAUGUUUGGGCUUCCCAAGUGGGAAGAAUCUGCCUACCAAUGCAGGAGAUGUGGGUUUGAUUCCUGAGUCAGAAAGAUCCCCUGGACGAGGAAAUGGCAAUCCUCUCCAGUAUUUUUGCCUAGUGAAUCCCAUGGACAGAGGAGCCUGGUGGGCUACAAUCCACAGAGUUGCAAAGAGUCGGACACGACCAGACGCACACAUACACACCUGUCUGAUGUUAUAUAUAUAAUAGUAUAUAUGACCCUAUGUGC